Molecule: unclassified non-coding RNA, 232 nt
Filed under: Glomeraceae sp.
Lineage: Eukaryota; Fungi; Glomeromycota; Glomeromycetes; Glomerales; Glomeraceae
Description: partial contains 5.8S ribosomal RNA and internal transcribed spacer 2
Rfam family: 5.8S ribosomal RNA (bases 1-71)
Source: RNAcentral
GUGAAUCAUCAAAUCUUUGAACGCAAAUUGCACUCCCUGGUAUUCCGGGGAGUAUGCCUGCUUGAGGGUCGUUAGAAUAAAAAAUCGAUGCGUCGCUCUUUUUGUUAAGGGUGAUCGUGUGGGAAUUGAGCCCUCUUUCAAAUGUUAAUCCAUGUCAAAGUGGCUUAAAAUUCAUCCAUCCGGUACGAUUAAAGCGUAUUUAAGAUCAAUAUAGAUUAAGAACGCCCGAUGA